Molecule: ribosomal RNA, 433 nt
Filed under: uncultured bacterium
Lineage: Bacteria
Description: partial 16S ribosomal RNA
Rfam family: Bacterial small subunit ribosomal RNA
Source: RNAcentral
AACGAACGCUGGCGGCAUGCCUAACACAUGCAAGUCGAACGAGACCUUCGGGUCUAGUGGCGCACGGGUGCGUAACGCGUGGGAACCUGCCCUUAGGUUCGGAAUAACUCCCCGAAAGGGGUGCUAAUACCGGAUAAUGUCUUCGGACCAAAGAUUUAUCGCCUUUGGAUGGGCCCGCGUUGGAUUAGCUGGUUGGUAGGGUAAAAGCCUACCAAGGCGACGAUCCAUAGCUGGUCUGAGAGGAUGAUCAGCCACACUGGGACUGAGACACGGCCCAGACUCCUACGGGAGGCAGCAGUGGGGAAUAUAGGACAAUGGGCGGAAGGCUGAUCCAGCAAUGCCGCGUGAGUGAUGAAGGCCUUAGGGUUGUAAAGCUCUUUUACCCGGGAUGAUAAUGACGGUACCGGGAGAAUAAGCACCGGCUAACUCCGUG